This 695-nucleotide ribosomal RNA is filed under the name uncultured soil bacterium. Its description in RNAcentral is "bacterial SSU rRNA". It matches the Rfam family "Bacterial small subunit ribosomal RNA", at positions 46 to 744 of the family's 1533-position model. The record is from RNAcentral.
GGAUUAGGCACGCAAGUCGAACGAAGACGGUUGGGUAGCAAUAUUUGACCGGACUGAGUGGCGAAAGGGGCAGUAAUGCGUGGGUAACCUACCUCCGGGAUGGGCAUAGCCGGACUAACGUCCGGGUAAUUCCCAGCGAGUUGGCGAAGCGGCAUCGCUUUGCCAAGAAAUGGAUUCCGCCUGGCGAGGGGCUCACGUCGUAUUAGCUUGUUGGCGGGGUAACGGCCCACCAAGGCUAAGAUGCGUAGCGGGUGUGAGAGCACGACCCGCGCCACUGGCACUGAGACACUGGCCAGACACCUACGGGUGGCUGCAGUCGAGGAUCUUUGGCAAUGGGCGCAAGCCUGACCAAGCGACGCCGCGUGUGCGAUGAAGGCCUUCGGGUUGUAGAGCACUGUCGAGGGGGAUAAAACCGCAAGGUUGAUAGAUCCCUGGAGGAAGCACGGGCUAAGUUCGUGCCAGCAGCCGCGGUAAGACGAACCGUGCGAACGUUGUUCGGAAUCACUGGGCUUAAAGGGCGCGUAGGCGGCUUGUCAAGUCAGGGGUGAAAUCCUGCAGCUCAACUGUAGAAGUGCCUUUGAUACUGGCGAGCUCGAGGGAGGUAGGGGUGGGUGGAACUUCCGGUGGAGCGGUGAAAUGCGUUGAUAUCGGAAGGAACGCCGGUGGCGAAAGCGACCCACUGGAUCUCUACUGAC